Molecule: ribosomal RNA, 485 nt
Filed under: uncultured bacterium
Lineage: Bacteria
Description: partial 16S ribosomal RNA
Rfam family: Bacterial small subunit ribosomal RNA
Source: RNAcentral
GACGAACGCUGGCGGCGUGCUUAACACAUGCAAGUCGAACGGGGCUCAUCGCUUCGGUGGUGGGUCUAGUGGCGAACGGGUGAGUAACACGUGGGCAACCUGCCCCCGGCUCUGGGAUAACUCCAAGAAAUUGGGGCUAAUACCGGAUGUGACCGCUGGCCGCAUGGUCUGGUGGUGGAAAGGGUUUCCGGCUGGGGAUGGGCCCGCGGCCUAUCAGCUUGUUGGUGGGGUAGUGGCCUACCAAGGCGACGACGGGUAGCCGGCCUGAGAGGGUGACCGGCCACACUGGGACUGAGACACGGCCCAGACUCCUACGGGAGGCAGCAGUGGGGAAUAUUGCGCAAUGGGCGGAAGCCUGACGCAGCGACGCCGCGUGGGGGAUGACGGCCUUCGGGUUGUAAACCUCUUUCAGCAGGGACGAAGCCGCGAGGUGACGGUACCUGCAGAAGAAGCACCGGCCAACUACGUGCCAGCAGCCGCCGUAA